GCGGCAGCGACUUAACUGAACCUUCGGGGAACGUUAAGGGCGGCGAGCGGCGGACGGGUGAGUAAUGCCUGGGAAUAUGCCCUGAUGUGGGGGAUAACUAUUGGAAACGAUAGCUAAUACCGCAUAAUCUCUUCGGAGCAAAGAGGGGGACCUUCGGGCCUCUCGCGUCAGGAUUAGCCCAGGUGGGAUUAGCUUGUUGGUGAGGUAAUGGCUCACCAAGGCAACGAUCCCUAGCUGGUCUGAGAGGAUGAUCAGCCACACUGGAACUGAGACACGGUCCAGACUCCUACGGGAGGCAGCAGUGGGGAAUAUUGCACAAUGGGGGAAACCCUGAUGCAGCCAUGCCGCGUGUGUGAAGAAGGCCUUCGGGUUGUAAAGCACUUUCAGUAGGGAGGAAGGUAGUGUAGUUAACACCUGCAUUAUUUGACGUUACCUACAGAAGAAGCACCGGCUAACUCCGUG
Molecule: ribosomal RNA, 462 nt
Filed under: Photobacterium damselae subsp. damselae
Lineage: Bacteria; Pseudomonadati; Pseudomonadota; Gammaproteobacteria; Vibrionales; Vibrionaceae
Description: bacterial SSU rRNA
Rfam family: Bacterial small subunit ribosomal RNA
Source: RNAcentral